AUUGAACGCUGGCGGCAUGCCUUACACAUGCAAGUCGAACGGUAACGGGCCUUCGGGUGCCGACGAGUGGCGAGCGGGUGCGUAAUACAUCGGAACGUGCCCGAUCGUGGGGGAUAACGAGGCGAAAGCUUUGCUAUUACCGCAUACGAUCUACGGAUGAAAGCAGGGGACCGCAAGGCUUUGCGCGGACGGAGCGGCCGAUGGCAGAUUAGGUAGUUGGUGGGAUAAAAGCUUACCAAGCCGACGAUCUGUAGCUGGUCUGAGAGGAUGAUCAGCCACACUGGGACUGAGACACGGCCCAGACUCCUACGGGAGGCAGCAGUGGGGAAUUUUGGACAAUGGGCGCAAGCCUGAUCCAGCCAUGCCGCGUGCAGGAUGAAGGCCUUCGGGUUGUAAACUGCUUUUGUACGGAACGAAAAGCCUUCUUUUAAUACAGGAGGGUCAUGACGGUACCGUAAGAAUAAGCACCGGCUAACUACGUG
RNAcentral lists this ribosomal RNA (482 nucleotides) under uncultured bacterium. Its description in RNAcentral is "partial 16S ribosomal RNA". It matches the Rfam family "Bacterial small subunit ribosomal RNA", at positions 30 to 507 of the family's 1533-position model. The record is from RNAcentral.